This 14194-nucleotide long non-coding RNA is filed under the name Solanum tuberosum (potato). Its description in RNAcentral is "long non-coding RNA (STUB_LNC010629)". Lineage: Eukaryota; Viridiplantae; Streptophyta; Magnoliopsida; Solanales; Solanaceae. The record is from RNAcentral.
CCUUGGGGGGUUCUUUUCCUCCUUGAAAGAGGUGCUUUACAUCAAGAAGUCGUGGAUCGAUCUUUGAAGGAGCUUUAUAUUUAAAACCUAUAAUAUAAAUUUCAGCAGAUGCUGAACGACUAGCCAGAGGUUUGUCCACCUCAACUUUUUCAAAAAGCUGUAAAUGAAACUCAAAAGUGAGGGAUCAUUUGAUCCUUUAUACUUGAAAAUAAAACUGGGUAUAGAUGUGGAAAAAAAAAAUUGAGAUUGAUAUAGAUGUGGAAAUUUACCUGUCUUAGACAGUAAAGAACUGCAUUAUAAUCUUGAGAUCUGAAAAUCUAAAAGAGGAGACCAUAUCAGUCUACCAGACAACUCUGUUUGUAUGAGCAUGAGAAAAAGUAUUCUCAUCAGAAUACGCUCGGAAACACAAAUACAAAUAUUGAUCAUCGCCUCCCAGCAGAAAAAGGAAUGAACCUAAAAAAUGUUACUUGAGGUUGCCUUUAAGUGUAAAUACCAAUAGAUCUGAUACUAGAACCAGAUUCAACAUUGUCAAAAGAGGCCAAGGGCUUCAUUUUGGACAACUACAUGUGCAUACCAAGAGUUUUGCCAACAUAUGAGGCAGGAAGUAUGGCACAAUAAAUAAUCGGUAGGUCAUGGAAUAUAGUUAAAGCAAAGAUAAAACCCUAAGAAUUCAGCCAAAUACACCAUUGGCUUUAGAGAUGCACUCAACCAUUCAAAAAAAUACACUGAUGAAACAAUGAAAAGAAUGAUAUAUCAAGAAAAAGAUUACUAAAAGAACAUAGUUAUUGAACAGGAAAAUGACAAUGUAGUGUCUAGAUAGUUGGCAGCGAUGUAAGAUAUGUAGUGCUCAUUCCUUCAUGAGGAUCAACUUUAAAGGAUGCACUUUGGGAACCAGAAAAACUCAAACACUAGAAACUAGAAUAAAAGUGCACAGCUGUCGGGCAAGGUAAGCCAUAUGAAGGAAAUAGAAAAAUUUAAUCAGCAACUCCGUUGAAAUGAAAUUUCAAUUUUUUUUUACUGUUGUAGGCAAAUGGCUGUGUUAAACAUAGUUAGAAUCCCAACAACACAGAAUAACGUUAAUCUAAAUUCAAAAUUAGAAGUCAUAGACUACUAGAGCUUUCUGGCAUUACUCCACAUGAUUCAUACAGGCAUAAAUAACAACGAAAACAUAACAAGGCCAGUAACCAAUUACAUUAACUAAUUAAGGAACUCAUCAUCGCAGAUCCAGAAUCUGAUAUGACAAAAACACCAAGCGCAUAGUAAGACGUAAAAGGGUCUUUUCCACUUUGUCCAACAAGCAUAACAUAAUCGAAAAAGAUAGAACUUUUAGCGAAUACCUUUGUAAUAAAAGUCCCUUUUGGAGCCAACAAUUCAGUAGCAAGCUUAACCGAAUCAAUAACCAAUGAAUUCUGACUAGUAGCUUCUUUAGCCCAAGCACCACCAACAUUAGGUGAACCAUCAUGAAGAACCAAAUCAAAAGCUCUACAUCCAUUCUCAGCCAUAAGUUUCUUAAUAGUUGAACGACAUUUAGGUGUAGUGAUAUCCUGUUGAACAGAAAUAGCACCACGAAUUGGCCUAAUUGGAUCCAAAUCAACACCGAUAACAAGACUACCAACGGGUACAUGCUUAACAGCCACUUGCAUCCAACCACCAGGUGCUGCACAAAGAUCAAGUACUGAUUGUGAUGAACGUAGAAAACUGAACUUGGAAUCGAGUUGGAUAAGCUUCCAUGCUGCCCUAGAACGAUAACCUUGUUCUUUGGCAAGAUGAUAGUACUUGUCCAAACGAUGCUUUCCUUUCACCUUCCCCAUUUCAACAGAGGGUUUAACAAGUUUGCUAGGGUUUUGGCCCCUGGCCGACUUUAUAUAUGAUUUUGUAUGCUUCUCUCACGUGUUGCUCGCGUGAACAACCCAAAAGCCUAAAACAUGUAAUAGGGUAUGUAUGAGUAUUAGGGUACUUUCUUUCUUGAAAUUUGGUUGUGUUUGGUAGGAAGGAAAAUGUUUUCUUGAAAAAUAAGUGAAUUUCUAACUUAUUUUUUUAUGUUUGGUUGGUAAGUAAAAAAUGUUUUCUGGGAAAAAUAUUUUAAUAUUUGAUUGGUGAAUGAAAAAUAUUUUCUAUAAAAUAUCAUUUAUUUUUGGCAUUCUUUAGGAAAAUAAUUUCUGAUCCGAAAAUCAACUCGAUAAUUGAUUUAGGACCAAACACUGAACUAGGACAAGACCCCGAUGACCGUUCCAAAAUACGACCCUAAGAUCUGACCUAGGACCUCUGACCUAGACAUUCGAUCCAGAACCUGACCCAAAAAAUAUUUUUCAAAAAUAUUUUUUUUAAAAUAAAAUUGAUAGGGAUGGGGGAGCGGGUCAGGGUAUGUGGUGGAGUAAAAAAUGAAAUUUUAAAAAGUUGAAAUAUUUUUUCAAAACAAUUUUUUUUGUAUGUGUGGGGGGAGGGGUAGGGGUGGUAGCGGUGAGUGAGGUAAAAAAAUCUUAAAAUUUGAAAUAUUUUUAAAAAAAUAAAUUAAAGUUUUAAUUUUUUUGUUUCCGGGAGGGGGGUUGGUUUGGCGGUGUAACAUCUCGCAAAUUGAAAUAACUAGGAAGAAGCUAAUAAUUGAAAAGAGUCAUUUUUUGGAAAGAAUGAAAAUUUGGAAAUUUUGUUAAGUUAGAAUAAGUUGAGUUUUGGCCAACUUCAAACGGACAUAACUUUCAGCUCAAGAUGAGUUAGAGGUACUUCCAGAUAUGGUAGGAAAGCUCUUGGAAUGAUCUUUAGAACUCCGCUGAGUUUGCACGAUUCCGAGUUUGUAUGAGUGAGUUAUGCCCUUUGGAAGUUGGGUUGUUAGAAUAAUCCGGAUUUUGAAAGGGUAGUUUGGUCUUUUCCUUUCCCAAUUAUUUUAUUUCGAUUUUGAUAAUUAAGUUAGGGUCUAAUCAGAAUUAGAUCAGUUUACGCUUUUACCAAAAUACGCUAGGGCUUGGAGAAAAGAGAAAAGAAGAGGAGAAAGGAGAAGAGAAGCAAGAUUCGUCAAGAUUGUCGAGUUUAGCUUAUGGAUUUCAUUGGGGGUGAUCCCUACAAGGUAUGAGAGAUCACAUAGCGUUGGGUUACUUCACCCACGCACCAAUCAUGAUUCAAUUUCAGCGAAGUUUAUUAGAAUUGAAAGUAAAUCCUUGAGUUCUUGAUGAUAUUCGUUUGAAUUCUUGCGGGUUGUGUUGUUGGAGUUUUCUUGAGAUUAAUUCAUGUUUUAGUUGUGUUUUUUAGUAGAAUUGAUGCAUAUUGAGGGUAUAUAUGAUUCUAAGUGUUUGGGGAAAGAGCCAUUGAAGUUUAGAGGGUUUAGAGAUGAAAAACGAGCAAGAAAAGUCGUCAAACGUCUGGGGAAAAGGGUGGGGCAUCGCGCCAGCCACGCGCCCUAAAAGGGUCUCUGAAGUUUACCCCUUGGGGCGACGCGCCAGCCAGCGCUCCCCAGGGCAGUCUCUGAUCUUUGCCCUCUGGCGCCCCGCACCUCUCAAAGCUCCAGGGACGCCAGUCCUUCCCAUUUCUUCCCCACCUUUUAGUACUUGUUCCUUAGCAAUGUAUCUAUCUUUUCUAGUUGAUUCCAACACUCUAUGGUACAUCUAAACAUCAUGAAAUCAUCCAUAAACAUGAGAUCAUGAACCUUGAAUCCAUAAUCCAAUUCAAGGAAAGUUAAGAUCAAAGUCAAGAGAAGUUCUUAUAGUUUUCCAAAAGUCUUUUCCAAAUGUUUUAACUUUGUUUUAAGACUUAAAGUUCAAGUUAAGUAAAGAGUAAAGUUUGAAGUUCAUUUCUUCAAAGGUAUAUGGGGACUAUGUAUUCCCAAAGGGUUUAAAAUAUUUUUCACAUUUAAACAAUAAUGGAAACCUCGAUUUCCAAAGAGCCUUCGGGCUAGUUUUCAGAAAAGCGUAAUCGCUUUCUAAAUGAAGCAAGAGAGGAAACUUUGAUUUCCAAGAUAGCCUUUGAGCUAAGUUUUUGAGCACUAAUCUCAAAUCACAAAAAGAAGUAUGUUUUUAAACAUAAGAGCUAAUAUUAUAUUUUUUGGAAGUAGUAUUGAGCACCGAUAUGGAAGAGCGUUCAGACAACUCACAGCCCUCAUAAACCAUGUAGCCUUCAUGGGUAGAAAAGGGUUAUACUUUUUAGAUGAUUCCUUUAGUGCUUUUUAGCAUAGACUAGUGGAUCCACUUAGUAGUUCAGGUUCUAUACCCUCGACAAGGUAUAGGACGGCCCUGACAGCGUGAGGCAAAAUGAUGUAUCAUCACAAUAGCUCUUACGUGAUGGUUGUCGGUUAGAGAAACUCCCACAAAAGUAAUUGUAUUCUUAUACACACAGUUUAUUGUAUUUUUACAUACAUUUCAGAGUUAUAUGUAUCUUUGCAUACAAACAGAGUUGACAUCAUGUUUUAAACAACUUUUUUUAUAUUGCACUUGUUUUAACCUGCUUUAUAUUGAAAUGAGUUCAGUUAUGUUGAGUUGAGCCAGGUAAGUUCUUCAGAUUCUUUUCAAGCCUAUGUUGUGUUUAGCAUUCCAACUCGCAUACUCGUACAUUCAAUGUACUGAUGCCAGUUGGCCUGCAUCAUAUUAUGAUGCAAACACAGGUAACUAGGAUCGGCAUCCAGCGCAUCGUUGAUCCAGUGAGCACUCCAGAGUCAAUUGGUGAGCCUCAUUGCAUUCUAGAGUCCCUUUUAUUGCUUUCAGUUACUUUGUUAGUUCAUUAGGAUGUCGUGGGGUUUGUCCCGACAUCCAUCUCAGUUGUUUUAGAGGCUUCAUAGAUAGUCUAAAUGUUAGUUCUUUAGUCUUUUCAUUGACUUUAUCAUUUCAUAUAUUUAGACUUGAGUUGCCAUUUUGGCCAAGUUGAAUGUUUGACUUUUAAGCAUUCUCAGUAUUUUAUUAUUCAAGUGAGUAUAGUGCUUUUGAUCAUUAUAAAUAUGCAUAGAAUCUUCCAUUGGGUUAAGUAAGUCAGGCCAAAGGUUCGCUUGGGGUCAGUAAUGGUUCUCGAGUGUUAGUCUCGCCCAAGGUAUAGGCUCGGGGCGUGACAGGCAGUAGGGGUAAAAAUAUAUUUGAAAUUUAAAAAAAUUAUUUUUUUUGGAUGGGGAGGGUCGGGUACAUGGUACGGGGUAGGGUAAGAAAAAAAAUAUUGAAAGAUGAAAUAGAGUUUUGGAAAAUGUUUUCAUUAAUUUUUUAAGUAAAGUCAUUUUCCUUAAAUUUGAGGAAAACAAGUUGAUUUGGAAAAUAUUUUCCAAGACAUUGAAGCCAACCAAACAUGGGAAAUACCAAAACACCCUUAAAGUUAAUUAUGUUGAGAUUAGUUUCAUGUAUUAAAGUUAAUAUACAUUACAUAAUUUCUAAAAAUAAGUUUUUUGUUUAUAAGAAUAUCUUUCAUAAGUGUAAAUGAUGUGAAAAGUGAUGUAUAAAAAGGGUUUGAGGGGUAUUUUUGUUAUUUAACUAUUUUAUUGCAAGAUAAGUUAUUUCGGGAUUAUUAUUCUACUCAGAGGCAGUGAUAACUUAUCUCAAUACUAAUUAUUAAUCUUGAAAUAAGUUAUUCCAAACUUUGUAACCAAACAGGGAAUUAAGAGGUAUUAAAAAUUUAAGUCAAGAUUAUUUUUGUUUAUCCAUCAUACCAAAAGUGUCUUUAAGUUGUGAUUGCAUUUUUCUUUGAAUUUGUCACAAUCCAAUAGUACCACCUAGACGUGACAUGGUACUUAGAAUUCCGAGAGAAACUAAGCGAACUAUAUGGCGCAGUAUGACACUAAGAUAACAACAUAACUGAAAUAAAGAGAUAAGCGGAAUUGAAGUCUCAAAUAGUAAUCUCAACAUAAUAUUGAAUCAGAGUACAAAGACCAUAAUGCGGAAAUACUAUGUCUAACAACAAGCCUCUACUACAUAAGAAAGACUAAGACAAACCCUAGUUCACUUGAACAAUCUGAAAACUGAAUAAGUCUAAAAUACAUAAAAGCAUAAGUGUGACCAUGUCUCCGAAAGAUGAGGACUCACCAAAUCUGAUCAGCUGAUAGGAUCCAAUACUAACCGCGGUCUAAGUAAUAUGCAUCAGAAUCUAUAUUAUAAAAUAAUAUACGCACAAGAGAUGUAUGUGGUCAGUCCUCAGAAUGUACUGAAUAUGGAGAAAGAUGCAUGAUUAUAACAAGAUAUAUAGCAUAAUAAAUCUGAAAAACAUAAUAAUGCAAUGACCAAGUAAACAUAACUUAACUUUGAUCAUAUGAUUUCAUAAAACAUAGUAUAAGUCAUGCAUUCUUCUUUAAAUCAUUAUCAUAUCAUAAGUCUUUGAGGAAGUCAUAAGCCUUUGUGGGAAAUACCAUUAACCGACAUAAACCAUGUAAGUUAUAAUUGGAGUUCAUUGUAUUGUUCUCACACUGAAAAAGAAAGUCUUCUACUUGCCACGAUAAGGAUCAUAAUCAUAAGCUUAUGUGGAUCCACUAGCUAGAUUCAAUUAAGACUAAGUCAUACGGGGUGCUUAGUUUUGAGACAAGGAGAUUGUUACUAAAAAUGUAACACCUAAAACAGAGGCGUAUCUAAGGGGGGGAGGGGUCAUUGGGUUCACGUGAACCCAUGAUCUCCUCCCGAGAUCAUAUAUAGUAGUGUUAUAUAUUUUUUAAAAAUAUUGAAAUAUAGAUGUGUGAACCCACACUUGAAGUAUCACAUAAUGCGAUUAUGACUGGGUGCACCUCUCUCCGCGAGGUCAGAAAUUUGAAUUUUAUAUUUAUCUUGUUUUAUUUUUCUUUCUAAAAUUAGAUAACACCUCUCUAAGUGGAAAUUGGUGUGUGUAUAUAUAUAUAUAAGAAUUAAUUUUAGACCUAUAAUUUUAAAAUUUUAACGGUUUUCAAUAGUAAAACCUAAAUGUCAAACCGAUCAAAUUUAUAUCAUAGAUCAACCUUAUUAUAACAGUGCACCCAUCAUUUCAAAAUCUUAGAUUCGCCUUUGACCUCAAACCUUGAUAAGUUGAGUUGGAAAGAAAAUUCUGAAUUUUGGCUAUUGGUGCAUGUUGCACGAGCCCACCUACGGACCGUACAAGGUCAUGCGGUCUGUACGAGGGCAGUCGUCGAAGAGGUAUGAGAAAAGUUGAAAAUGUCAAGUCCUAGAAGAAUUCCUACAGACCACCAUGACAGUUUGUAGAAGUAUAUACAAUCCGUAGGAAGUGGUCAUAGGAAGGGGGUCCAAACUUGGUGAGAUUUUGAUCGACUUUUGGGUUCUACGGUUAGGACCUACAGCUCGUAGAAGGGUCUACGAACCGUAGGAAGUUUUCGUGAAAAGUGAUUGGAAUUUCAGCCUCUAGUACUUUGAUCUACGGAUGAUCAGGACGGUCCAUAAAAGCUUGUACGAACCGUAGGUCACCUCUAGCAGUUUUUAAGUUAGGGUUAUUUGGGCCAUUUCUUAUCUUUUCUACACCUAAACUAUGUCGUUUUGACCCUAUAACUAAGUCCUGUGAUUGCUUUUACUCUUCAAAACCUACCUCUUUCCCCUUAUUCACUCAAAAUCCCUCAAGAUUUUCUCUCUAAAUUGUCUCCAAGGAUUCUCUCAAGUGGAUUAGGGUUCUUCAAACUUUCAAGUCUCUUCCUCUAAUUCCAAGGCCCAAGUAUGUGGGAAAUUCAUUAAUGGAUUCUCGUUCAUCCAUUGAGCCCCAAAGAUUUCUCUAUUUCCUUCCAUGAUUUCAACCCAAAUUUCUAGGGUUUUAUAUGAUUCUUCAUGGCUUUGAUUAUUUAUGAUCCAAUCAAUUAUAUUUAAUCUUAUUAUGCAUGAUUUGAUUCAAAUUACAUGUUUUCAAAGUAUUUCAUAUGAACCCAUAUUAUACGUCUAUCUUAUGAUCAUGAGUUGAAGUUUUGAAAUUAUGCACACAUUAAGAAAUUGUAGUGACUAGUUACUAUGAUUCUAGGGUGCUUUCAAAUAAAGUAUCUCAUGAGUUACGAAAUUUGAUUGCUUCUGAAGUAUUCCUACUAUGAAAGAUUUUUGUGGCUUAGCCACCUCCGAUUGAAGUGUAGUUUUACUAAAAAAAAAGAUUAUCAUGAUUUAAAUGCUUUCAAUUAAAUGUAUAUAAAUAGAAAACGGUAUUACAAGAAAAAGGCAAUAAGAAACCAGAAAAUCUUAAGACUAAUUCAUUUCAAAAUGUGAACAACAAAAAUCACGAGCUUAAGCUGCUGCUGAAGCCUUUCCUGAGCCUUUUCCUUUUGGUUGCGUCUUCUUUUUCAUUCCAUGCUUUCUUGCAUCUUUUUUCAUUCUUGGAUCGACAAGGACCUUUCCCUUGCCAACCUUAACUUGAACUCCUUUCUUUGCCACUACAUAUUCCCUUUCUGGUUUUUUUGUUGACGACGCCUUCCUGUAUAGUUGUUCAAUCAUUUUUCUCUUUGAACCUUCAGAGAUUUCAGUUUGGUCUGAUAUUGAGUUAGCUUUCUUCCUAAACUUCUCUAGCUUUCUAUGUGCUGCCCGUUUCUUACGAGCUUUGGCUUCUGCAACCUUCUUUGCAGGCCGAGCAUCAAUUGCUUUAAAUUGAGCUCUCAUUGCAGCAAUCUCCUCUUUUGUCACGGGUUUCACUGGCUGGAAAUUUCUCUUUUCCUCAUCAAUGAACCACUUCGGCAACCCCUCAUCGUGAAACAUAUAUCUGUUGUAAACAUCAUCAAUCAUUUCUUCCCUAGGCCUUUUCUUCAGCGUCAUUUUUGCUGUAGCCAAUAUUUCAGCCUUCGUGUCAAUAUCGUCAUCAGAUUCAUCAGAUGAUGAGUCACUAGAAUCAGUAGCAGGAGCAGGAACAAUCUCAAAAUCAUCUGUCUUAGAAGCUGAGACCUGUAAGCCACCAUUUGUUUUCCUCCUCGUCAUAUCCUUAGUUUCUCCCUGCUGUUUAUCAUUUUUUAGUUCCUUAGAUUUUUGGAUCUUCUUAGCCCCUCCAUCUACUUCCAUUUCAUCAUUACUGUCAUACAUGUCCAAGACAUCCUGCUCUUCUGCUUCAGCAAAAGCAUCUUGAGUAAACCACAUCUUCACAAUCUCCUCCUGAGUAGGUGCAUCCUCAAGGGGCACAACAAGAGGGUUGACUUCAUUAUCUUCCAUGUCACUCUCAGAGUCUUGAGCAGAAUGAAUCAUUGUGCUAUCAUCAUUGCCAUCCUGAAAAAGAAAGAGCAGCACUACCAUUAAUGCAAAGAAAGACAGAAAAGAAAAACUUCUGAGUAACUUGAAGAAGCCAUGUUAAAAAACAUCCCACUUUGUACACAUUUUUUAGAUGAUUUAUGAAAGGUAAUUGGAAAAUUUAAGAUAAUGAUCAAAAUUUGAUUCAAUCCUUUUAUGUAAUCCUAGUUUAAGGCCAAUCAGGAUUUAUUUAAAUCAAUUUGAAUUUGUCUUUUGUUUUGGUAAAAACUGAAUCUUACCAAAUUUACAAUCUCAGUUAAUAUUUAUUUGAAAUUUGCAUGCCACUUUAUUACAGCUAAUGAGUUGUUGUAAUAUAGGAAAUGAAUGUAAAUAAUAACAAAUCAAGUACUCCCUCCGUUUCACAAAGAGUGGCCUAGUUUGACUUGGCACGGAGUUUAAGAAAAUAAAGAAGACUUUUGAAUCUUGUGGCCCUAAAAUAAAGUUAUGUCAAAUGUAUAAAAUUGCCCUUUAAUCUUGUGGUCUUAAACAUGCCACGUGGAAAGUUGAAAGUAAAAUGUUACCAAAAAAGGAAAGGGGCCAUUCUUUUUGAAACAGACUAAAAAGGAAAGGAGGCCAUUCUUUUUGAAACGGAGGGAGUAUAUAGGAAGGAUAUGAAGUUGUGCCUAGUACUCCCUGGGGCAAACACAAUCCAGAUUUGGAGUGUUUUACAGAUCAAUUUUGAUCCAGAAAAACAGGAUUUAAAUCUUUGCCAAAUUAGAACAAAGCUCAAACAAGUUAGUUCCUACUAAAUCCAGCAGAGCAUCAUCAAUCAAGUACUAAAAGAAUGACCUCUAUUGAAUUUAUAUACAAAGUACUUGUUGAAGGAAACAAGAAACUCAGUCCCAUAGCAAAAGGAAACACGGAAAGAACUAAGGAGAGGAUGUACUGAUAAGAAUUUUGUAGUGCAACUUAAACCUCACUUACCUGCAGAUCAUCCUUCAAGUGUGCUUGUUUGGAUCGCUUUCUCUGUUUUGAUUUACCUUCCACUCUACCCAAAUACCGUUCAUAAGCCUCAUCAAAUAAUGCCUCAAUAUUAUCAUCAUGUCUGAAAAUGAAGGGAAAAAGAAACCUUGUAGCUUUAGAAGUUUACAGGCAACAAUCAAUUAUAGAAGCAGAUCAGCAAAAAGCUGGCCAUAAUACCUUCUGCAUUCGUCUCCAGAGUCCAGAUCACUGGAUGAAUGUCCCUGGGCAUCCUCAUCACUUUCAUUGCUUACCUCAGUAGUUUCUUUGUCGUAUUCACUGUUAUCAACAGCUACGAGAUCUUUCUUACCCUGAAAUGUUUUUUCAAAAGCAUGUGAUAUCUAGAUGUAGAUUUUCUCAAAUACACAAGACCCCAUAUGGACGAUGAAGAACAGAGAUUUCAACCAGAUUAACAUUAAGGAAAAACAAUUUCUCUGUAAAAGUCGCAUCCAGUCCACUAGUGCAAAUGAUAUAACAAAGAAGCUAAAGUGUGAAAAUACCUUGAUGGAAGAUAGAGAGAACAAAUCCUGAUCACCAUAACCAUCCUCUGUCGCAUCUACUUGUAUCCCAAGUGCCUUGCGUGCUUUCUCCUGCAAUCAGAAGAAUAAAAGGGAAAUAAAUCAGUGAAAUAGAUCCCAUGUGACUACUUCAUGAAUUUAGGAAAGUAACAGAAGUUGUUAGAGGGUACAUAUCAAUUCAAGAAACCACUCCAAGACUUUGGUCGAGUGUUAAGAGCACAACAAGUGAUGUGUGAAUUAGGCGCUAGUCAGAGAUAGGAAUCUUUUCUCUUUCUUUGUUAAUGAUAGAGUUGUAUUCUCCAGCACUAAGGGUAUGCUGGCUACUUCCAAAAAGUUACAAGCUAUUUCCGUAAUUACAUAGAUCCUAGGAAAUCCACAAACUGUUCUACUUCUUCUAUACCAUCUUCUUUACACCAAAUAUACAACACGUUAAUGCAAUUUUCUUUCACCUUCUGAAUAGUGUUAGUAAUAUUCUCAUGACACCUGAGGUUUCUUUCUCUCAAAAUAGCCCACCAGAAACAAGCAGGUACUACAGACAACCUUGUCACAGGUUGAAUCCGACAGCAGAGAAAAGCCUGGUGUUUAAGUGGAGAAGUGUAGCGGGACAGACCAUCAUCCACUGAGUUUCAAACCAAGAGCCGCUGGACUCAAGGGUUUCUCAGUUAUAAAAAAAUCAAAAAACCCUAAUGUCAAGAUUUCAACCAAAUAAUACUUAGUAGCAAGUUUAAUUUUUCCCAGAACGCCCAGGUGUGAGUUUCAGUCAUUGACCUACAGGCAAUCAAUUUAAUAUUCCACCUGGCUCUGAACUGCAACUUUUCCCAGGCUCUAGUUCGACUAAUCAGUUUAUAGCUAAGAUACCCUGAAGAGAAGAUGUUUAAGGGGGUAUUCAGAAGACGGAGAGGAGCCACCAUAAGUUUUUUCCAAACGUUGAUAACUUGAAAUGCAUGAAAACGCACUUGUUUUCAUAAGGGAAAAGCACAAAAUUUCACAAUUUGGGAUACUUGUUUGUUCAUUAAUUCUUCUGAGCUCAACAGAAAAUACCACUCCCCACAUGAUGUUUUAUGGAACACAUUCUUAACUAUGUGUAAAUAACAACAGCUAACCAAAACAGAAAUUGAAAGAGACUUGGUGGAGCAUAUGCAUAAACCUUGGCUCGUCUUUUUGCUUGAAGUUUCUUCUCUUUUUUCUGCUUUUUCUCCAAAAUAUUGGUUUUCUCCUCUAUUUCAUUGAGAACUCUUUCAUCUUCAUCUUCACCUUCAUCUUCUUUGCUCUCACUUUCAACAACUGUUGGGGUCUUUAUUUUUUCAGGAGAUAAAGCUUUUCUUAUCUGCAUACGCCACCUAGAAAAAAAAAGGUUUGCAUUAAAAAAAUCAUAAGAGGAACAUAAAAGAAUGAGAAUAGAGAAUAAUGUAACUAAAUUCAAUCAAGAACUUUGAGCAUCCCAAAACGGAAAGGUGCUAAAAAGGUUUCUGUUUCGUACUUUAAGAGAUACUUGAAGUCUUGCUUUGCAAGAACACGCAAAUCAUCACAUAGAGAUUUAACCUGACACAAAAAUUGAAGUGUAAGGCUAACGAUAGCAAGCAACUACAGCAUCUAGCAACAACAGGCUAUAGCCUAUAAUAGACCACAUGUAAUAUACCUCCUCUGUUGUGAGAGUGUGGUCUCUAAUGGCCAAACAGGCAGGAUCAUCAGAGCUCAUUGAAGAAAAUGUACCAAGGACCUGAACAGGGUUAUCAGACCAUACAAAAUCUGCAACUGAGCACACCUUCCUUAGGACUGUGGCUCCAUCUUCGUACCUGCAAGGUUCAUUUUAUACAAAUGUCAUAUAGAUGCAAGUGUGAUGGGAUAAUUCAUGCAUCUGGAAAUAGAAAGAAAGAAAUCAAUUAACUCAAAUCUUCGCCCAGAUUAGCUCUAAUAAUGACAAACCCAUUAGACUGAAUCAAAGUUAACAUCAAUCAUUUGAAAGCUGGCAAUUAGUUAGAAAUUCAAAUUUCAAGGUAAUAGCUACUGGAAUGACAUCAUCUAUUAUUGAUGGAUAAUAAAAAAGACCAGUCCCAGUAUACUAGGCUAGCAUUUGGCCAUGAAAUUUGAUUGGAUUAUGAAGCUUCAAAUCUGUAAAUUUCAAUUUUUGGGACUUCCACUCACAAAACUUCAAAUUCCAAAAUUACAACUUCAAAACCUAUGGCCAAACGGGAGCUAAGAGGUUUCACAUGUUGCCCCAACAAUUAUAGGCUCUAAAACAGACUAGUAGAAGUUGAGGCUGGAAUUUAUUAGUGAGGCAGACUAAGCAACCUGAGAGCUUCAUUAUCAACUCAGUCCAAAAUUCUCAUUAAAACAUGCAAAGAAAAAGAUUUGGAGAGUGAAAUCUUCAGCAUCAGACUGAUAAACAAACAUCCACUUUAUUUUGAUGGAACAAAAUCAGUCAUAAUCCACCGGCCUGCGAGACCAUGAAGAAAGUGAAGCAGGCCAAGUUUUAGGAAGAAUAAAGAACAAACUGCUGCGAUGCUGGGGACGCAGAAACUAAGAGCCCUCAAUGGCCAAAGGCCAGAUCCCCACACACUCACACCUUUCUCUCUCUGUCACCACACACUCUCUCUUCUCCCAUUCAUCAUUUGACAAUUUUACACUCUUUUCAGUGCUCAAACUACUUAGUAACCUCCCAACCUAGCAUCAUGGCCCAUUGUCAGAUGUUUGUUUUUCACUUUGCUAAAACUUCCUCAACAAAAAUCUCACAAGAACUCAACCCAUGUGACGAAACCAAAAGAAAAGGGAAAAAACAACUUAUUUUUAGCAAACUGUCUUUCUCCUUGUAUAAUGUCACUGCAUCUCUUCAAAUGAAUGGUCACCUAUUAUCAUUAGUUAGCCAACAAAGACGGAUUCAGCUUCUUCUCGUAAUUCAAGCUCGUAUGAGAAGCUGGUCAAGCAUCCCCAUAGAUACUACAUCUAGUGAGUUGUGUACUUGUCAAAAAGGACAAACACAUCAUCUGCUUCCCUGCAUCAGUUGCACUACAAGGGCAUAUUCUAGGAAGUGUUAAAAGCAGACUGGUUCAGUUUACAAAGUUUGGUGUCCCAAAAAUCUAUACACAAAAAACAUGUUUGUAUCAUUUGAUUAUAGUCAAUGAUGUCAUGUUCCUUCUCAUGGACUUGAAACAAUUAUUCAAAUGCAUAAAUACACAGCAAAAUAGGAUAUACCCAUCACGGUGUCUCUUCUGCUUCGUCCCUCCGAGUACAUCAAUCACCUGAUUAAGUACACACAAGAAGCUCAAUUAGAUUAUAGGAGCGCCUAUAUGUUAAGGAAAAGGAAAGUGCACGGACCUAGCAUGCAAAAGAGAUAAAAGGGGGAGGGGGUUAAGGAGAGAGUGUGAGAGAGGACCAUAGUUCAAAAACGAGUACCUUGGGGGGUUCUUUUCCUCCUUGAAAGAGGUGCUUUAUAUCAAGAAGUCGUGGAUCGAUCUUUGAAGGAGCUUUAUAUUUCAAACCUAUAAUAUAAAUUUCAGCAGAUGCUGAACGACUGGCCGGAGGUUUGUCCACCUCAACUUUUUCAAAAAGCUGUAGAUGAAACUCAAAAGUGAGGGAUCAUUUGAUCCUUUAUACUUGAAA